GACGAACGCUGGCGGCGUGCCUAAUACAUGCAAGUAGGACGCAGUUGCGAACGGGUGAGUAACACAUAGGUAACUACCUAUUAGAGAGAGAUAACUAUGGGAAACGAUAGCUAAUACCGAAUACUAGUAGAUGGACCUGGGUUGUAUUAGCUAGUAAGUAGGGUACUGGCCUACCUAGACAACGAUCAAGAGCCGACCGGAGAGGGUGAUCUGCCACACUGGGACUGAGACACGGCCCAGACUCCUACGGUAGGCAGCAGUAGGUAAUCUUCGGCAAUGGGGGGAACCCUGACCGAGCAACGCCGCGUGAGUGAAGAAGGUUUUCGGAUCUUAAAACUCUGUUAUUAGGGAAGCGGUACCGAAUCAGAAAGCCACGGCUAACUACGUGCCAGCAGCCGCGGUAAUUC
This 407-nucleotide ribosomal RNA is filed under the name uncultured bacterium. RNAcentral's name for it is "partial 16S ribosomal RNA". It matches the Rfam family "Bacterial small subunit ribosomal RNA", at positions 28 to 526 of the family's 1533-position model. The record is from RNAcentral.